This 492-nucleotide ribosomal RNA is filed under the name uncultured bacterium. RNAcentral's name for it is "partial 16S ribosomal RNA". It matches the Rfam family "Bacterial small subunit ribosomal RNA", at positions 29 to 507 of the family's 1533-position model. The record is from RNAcentral.
AGUGAACGCUGGCGGUAGGCCUAACACAUGCAAGUCGAACGGCGGCACAGUAAGAGCUUGCUCUUACGGGUGGCGAGUGGCGGACGGGUGAGGAAUACAUCGGAAUCUACUUUUUCGUGGGGGAUAACGUAGGGAAACUUACGCUAAUACCGCAUACGACCUACGGGUGAAAGCAGGGGAUCUUCGGACCUUGCGCGAUUGAAUGAGCCGAUGUCGGAUUAGCUAGUUGGCGGGGUAAAGGCCCACCAAGGCGACGAUCCGUAGCUGGUCUGAGAGGAUUAUCAGCCACACUGGAACUGAGACACGGUCCAGACUCCUACGGGAGGCAGCAGUGGGGAAUAUUGGACAAUGGGCGCAAGCCUGAUCCAGCCAUACCGCGUGGGUGAAGAAGGCCUUCGGGUUGUAAAGCCCUUUUGUUGGGAAAGAAAAGCAGCAGGUUAAUACCCCGCUGUUCUGACGGUACCCAAAGAAUAAGCACCGGCUAACUUCGUG